Small nucleolar RNA from Meriones unguiculatus (Mongolian gerbil), 133 nucleotides. The record is from Ensembl. NCBI's taxonomy places the organism in Eukaryota, Metazoa, Chordata, Mammalia, Rodentia, Muridae.
CCUCCCCCUAGAGGCAUUGCUGGUGGUGUGACAGCUGUGUCCUGUGUGCAUCAGCAGGUGACAGAGAGGCGAGAACCUCCGUCCACACGCAGUGUUCUGGCCUGUGAACACCUGACUGUAGCAGCCUGACAUU